This 187-nucleotide ribosomal RNA is filed under the name uncultured bacterium. Its description in RNAcentral is "partial 16S ribosomal RNA". It matches the Rfam family "Bacterial small subunit ribosomal RNA", at positions 1312 to 1500 of the family's 1533-position model. The record is from RNAcentral.
UCGCCUGCAUGAAGUCGGAAUUGCUAGUAAUCGCGGAUCAGCAUGCCGCGGUGAAUACGUUCCCGGGCCUUGUACACACCGCCCGUCACACCAUGGGAGUCGGUAACACCCGAAGCCGAUAGUCUAACGAAAGAGGACGUCGUCGAAGGUGGGAUUGAUGACUGGGGUGAAGUCGUAACAAGGUAUC